AUUCCAGCUCCAAUAGCGUAUAUUAAAGUUGCUGCAGUUAAAAAGCUCGUAGUUGAACUUCGGAACCGGUCGAUUGGUCCGUCCUCUGGAUUGUGUACUGAUCGAUCUGUUCUUCUUCGCGAAGACCGCGUGUGCCCUUAACUGGGUGUGCACGGGAUUCACGACGUUUACUUUGAAAAAAUUAGAGUGUUCAAAGCAGGCAUUCGCUUGAAUAUCUCAGCAUGGAAUAAUAGAAUAGGACUUUGGUCUUAUUUUGUUGGUUUCCGAGACCGAAGUAAUGAUUAAUAGGGACAGUUGGGGGCAUUCGUAUUUCAUUGUCAGAGGUGAAAUUCUUGGACUUAUGAAAGACGAACUUCUGCGAAAGCAUUUGCCAAGGAUGUUUUCAUCA
Molecule: ribosomal RNA, 388 nt
Filed under: Ctenophora sp. (in: diatoms)
Lineage: Eukaryota; Bacillariophyta; Fragilariophyceae; Fragilariales; Fragilariaceae
Description: Ctenophora sp. (in: Bacillariophyta) partial small subunit ribosomal RNA
Rfam family: Eukaryotic small subunit ribosomal RNA
Source: RNAcentral